GUUGCUUCCGCCUCCCGGGGCGCAGGCGCUGGGCGCGGCGGGGAAGGGACUCGGCACUGGGGAAACCCGGAGUUUCAGCCAGGGUCCCAGGGCUUCCUUCCCGGGUUCCUGCCGGAAAACUUUUCUCCUCCGCCCGGAAGCCUCGAUGGGGCAGUGAGAUCGCGGGGCGAGCCUGUCCUGCUCUGGCCUGCCCUGUGCUCAGGAAGCUGGCGGUCCCCCUCAGUGGAUCUUCACCCACAGGGACAACCUGCUGCAGACCGGGUAGGAGGGAGGCAGGGGCCUCUUCCCCUCUCCUUCCUGGCCUGGCCCCACACCCACCAGUGUUGGUUUCACUCUGUGGCUACGAUUCUUCCUGGGUGCCCUUUCCAUUGCACAACUCCUCUAGGCUCUACGAACAGAACUUCUCCCCGCCCCCAAGCCUCUUAGGGUGAGACAUGUUGUCGGUCUGCCAUUGUUGCUGGUCCCUAAAUAGCAGCACCCUUUGAAGGAUCCUUGAACCAUGACCACACCGCAACAAAGAGUCCUUCAUCAAACUCGCUUCCAAAUCCCCUCCCAAGAACACCUUCAGUUUCCUGCAAGAACCCUGACUGCUGAAGCCGGAUUUUGACUAAGCUUCUACCUUGUAAACCGUGACUGUGGGAUUGGGGUCGAGGCGCAAUCAGAGGUUGUAUAAGGCACUAGAUCAAGGCUGCCUGUCUGUCAGGAGUGUCUGCUUUAUUCAGUAGUAAAUGUGAAUUGUUUUUCAUUCUGUUGUGAAUACUGUUGGUUGACAAUGCAGCAGCCAUGCCCUCUCUAUCCUUGCUGGUUCAGGUAUCCACUCUGUGUGGCUAAGGGUAAACUCUGUCUCUUGAGAAAAUCUUGGUAACUCCAUUUCUCUUUCCAACAAUUGGCUUCAAACAAGCUCAAGUCAAUGAGUCCCAACAGGAAGCCUGCUGGGGGUUGUCUGGCAAAGGUUUUCUCACUCCUACAGGAACAUAAAGAGGAAAUGCUCCUUUUUCCCUGGUGAAUGUUGCAUUCCCUGUCUGGAUGCAAUGCCUGGUGCUCCGCAGCCCUUUGCACUUAUAAGAGAAGGUGGCCGGAAGAGCAUCUUCACCCUGGGGUGGCCGCCUGGGAAGAUGAGAAGAGCAGGAGUCCUUGGUGGCACAACCAGGCAAUUCACCAAAAUCCUGCUGCCCUCACCUGGAAUUUCCUGCUAUGAGAGACGUCUCCGUUUAAACCACAUGAGCUGGAUUUUCUGUUUCUAACACAUGUCAGCAUCUUCACGGUAAAUCUAAGAAAAAAAAAUCAGGGCUAUUAAAAAACAAAGUCCAACUCACCCUGUGCUAUGGUCUGAAGGUGUCCUCCCAAAUUCACACGUGGAAACCUAAUCCCAAAUACCUGAUACCUAAUCCCAAAUAUUAAGAGGUGGGGGCCUUGGGAGGUGGUUAGGAAUGGGAUUAGUGCCCUUUAAAACUGAGGUUUUUGGGAGCCUGCUUGCCCUUUCUGCCAUAUGAAGAUGCUUAGAAGAGGCCUUCUAUGAAGCAGAGAACUUUUCUCAGAUGCCAGAUCUGCUGGGACCUUGAUCUUGGAUUUCUCAGCCUUCAGAACUGUGGGAAGCAAACUUCUGUGUGUAUGAAUAGCCAUCUAAAGGAUUUUGUUACAGCAGCCUGAGCAGACUAAGACACCCUGUGAGUCAGUUAUUUUUGGCUGUGUCACGAGUGACCGCGAGUGCAGGAGCUGAAACGGCAGUGAGUGGGUUACCAUUUCUCAGGACCCUGCGGAAUUGGUGCGAUGGUGCUUCUGCUCCACCUGUUGUUGGCUGGGAUUGUCCUGCAGCUGCAUUCUUCUGGGGGUCAGCUGGGGCUGGAAGCUUCCUGUGGUCUAGUCACACAGCUGGGGUCUCAGCUAGGGUGAUAGAACACUGGGGGCAGGCCGGCCUUGCUGUCUCUCUCUGGCUUCUCAUCAUUCAGUGGUCUAGCCUGAGUUUUUUACAUGGCAGCUCAGGAGGGUCAAUGUGGACGCUAUACAGCCUGUAAGGCCCGGGUUUGGAAGUCCAAGAAUAUGACUUCUACCAUGUUCUACUGGUGAAUAUAAAUUCCAAGGCCAGCCUAGAUUCAAGGGAUAAGAACGUAGAUUUCACUCCUUGAUGGGAGGAUCCCAUGUACAGACAGGGAUCCUUAUGAGGGAUUAUGAGAACUCCUAAUCCUUAUGAGGGAUUAUCAUACAGAGAAUUUAUGGGGGAUUAUCUUUGGAAAUAAUCUACCAUAGACUGAAUAAAUGAUAAUGUAAUGUG
This is a long non-coding RNA of Homo sapiens (human), 2272 nucleotides long. RefSeq lists it as uncharacterized. The transcript is spliced from 2 exons. The record is from RefSeq and is marked validated. Lineage: Eukaryota; Metazoa; Chordata; Mammalia; Primates; Hominidae.